GAUGAACGCUGGCGGCGUGCUUAACACAUGCAAGUCGAACGGAAAGGCUCCUGCUUGCAGGGGUACUCGAGUGGCGAACGGGUGAGUAACACGUGGGUGAUCUGCCCUGCACUUCGGGAUAAGCCUGGGAAACUGGGUCUAAUACCGGAUAGGACGAUGGUUUGGAUGCCAUUGUGGAAAGUUUUUCGGUGUGGGAUGGGCUCGCGGCCUAUCAGCUUGUUGGUGGGGUAAUGGCCUACCAAGGCGUCGACGGGUAGCCGGCCUGAGAGGGUGUACGGCCACAUUGGGACUGAGAUACGGCCCAGACUCCUACGGGAAGCAGCAGUGGGGAAUAUUGCACAAUGGGCGCAAGCCUGAUGCAGCGACGCCGCGUGGGGGAUGACGGCCUUCGGGUUGUAAACUCCUUUCGCUAGGGACGAAGCGCAAGUGACGGUACCUGGAGAAGAAGCACCGGCUAACUACGUG
Molecule: ribosomal RNA, 465 nt
Filed under: uncultured bacterium
Lineage: Bacteria
Description: partial 16S ribosomal RNA
Rfam family: Bacterial small subunit ribosomal RNA
Source: RNAcentral